This 301-nucleotide ribosomal RNA is filed under the name uncultured bacterium. RNAcentral describes it as "partial 16S ribosomal RNA". It matches the Rfam family "Bacterial small subunit ribosomal RNA", at positions 509 to 807 of the family's 1533-position model. The record is from RNAcentral.
CAGCAGCCACGGUAAUACGGAGGGAGCUAGCGUUGUUCGGAAUUACUGGGCGUAAAGCGCGCGUAGGCGGUUACUCAAGUCAGAGGUGAAAGCCCGGGGCUCAACCCCGGAACUGCCUUUGAAACUAGGUGACUAGAAUCUUGGAGAGGUCAGUGGAAUUCCGAGUGUAGAGGUGAAAUUCGUAGAUAUUCGGAAGAACACCAGUGGCGAAGGCGACUGACUGGACAAGUAUUGACGCUGAGGUGCGAAAGCGUGGGGAGCAAACAGGAUUAGAUACCCGCGUAGUCCCUGUCUCUUAUAC